This 262-nucleotide ribosomal RNA is filed under the name uncultured soil bacterium. RNAcentral's name for it is "partial 16S ribosomal RNA". It matches the Rfam family "Bacterial small subunit ribosomal RNA", at positions 26 to 292 of the family's 1533-position model. The record is from RNAcentral.
AGAUUGAACGCUGGCGGCAUGCCUUACACAUGCAAGUCGAACGGCAGCACGGGAGCAAUCCUGGUGGCGAGUGGCGAACGGGUGAGUAAUACAUCGGAACGUGCCCAAUCGUGGGGGAUAACGCAGCGAAAGCUGUGCUAAUACCGCAUAAGAUCUACGGAUGAAAGCAGGGGAUCGCAAGACCUUGCGCGAAUGGAGCGGCCGAUGGCAGAUUAGGUAGUUGGUGAGGUAAAGCUCACCAAGCUUCGAUCUGUAGCUGGUC